GACAGAGGGGGCAAGCGUUGCUCGGAAUUAUUGGGCGUAAAGAGCGCGUAGGCGGUCCGAUAAGUCGGCUGUGAAAGUCAUGGGCUCAACCCAUGAAAGCCGGCCGAUACUGUCGGACUAGAGUCCGGAAGAGGCAAGUGGAAUUCCCGGUGUAGCGGUGAAAUGCGCAGAUAUCAGGAGGAACACCUGUGGCGAAAGCGGCGCACUGGACCACAACUGACGCUGAGGCGCGAAAGCUAGGGGAGCAAACAGG
RNAcentral lists this ribosomal RNA (253 nucleotides) under uncultured bacterium. RNAcentral describes it as "partial 16S ribosomal RNA". It matches the Rfam family "Bacterial small subunit ribosomal RNA", at positions 524 to 776 of the family's 1533-position model. The record is from RNAcentral.